AGCUUUUUGAAUCCGUGCUGAGAUUUCGUCGGGAACCAACUCUUUAUUGCUGAUCAGACUUCCGAGAUAAGUGAAGUU
Molecule: non-coding RNA, 78 nt
Organism: Schistosoma mansoni
Lineage: Eukaryota; Metazoa; Platyhelminthes; Trematoda; Strigeidida; Schistosomatidae
Source: Rfam